RNAcentral lists this ribosomal RNA (253 nucleotides) under uncultured bacterium. RNAcentral describes it as "partial 16S ribosomal RNA". It matches the Rfam family "Bacterial small subunit ribosomal RNA", at positions 524 to 776 of the family's 1533-position model. The record is from RNAcentral.
UACAGAGGUCUCAAGCGUUGUCCGGAUUUAUUGGGCGUAAAGGGCGCGUAGGCGGCGGGGUAAGUCGGGUGUGAAAUCUCAGAGCUCAACUCUGAAACUGCACUCGAUACUGCUCUGCUUGAGGACUGGAGAGGAGACUGGAAUUCACGGUGUAGCAGUGAAAUGCGUAGAUAUCGUGAGGAAGACCAGUGGCGAAGGCGGGUCUCUGGACAGUUCCUGACGCUGAGGCGCGAAGGCCAGGGGAGCAAACGGG